This 246-nucleotide ribosomal RNA is filed under the name uncultured bacterium. RNAcentral describes it as "partial small subunit ribosomal RNA". It matches the Rfam family "Bacterial small subunit ribosomal RNA", at positions 26 to 285 of the family's 1533-position model. The record is from RNAcentral.
AGAAUCAACGCUGGCGGCGUGCCUAACACAUGCAAGUCGAACGAGAAAGUGGAGCAAUCCAUGAGUAAAGUGGCGCACGGGUGAGUAACACGUGACUAACCUACCUUUUUAGUGGGGGAUAACCUAGGGAAACCUGGGCUAAUACCGCAUAAUACCUACGGGUCAAAGCAGCAAUGCGCUGAAAGAGGGGGUCGCGGUCGAUUAGUUAGUUGGCAGGGUAAUGGCCUACCAAGACUGUGAUCGAUA